RNAcentral lists this ribosomal RNA (214 nucleotides) under uncultured bacterium. RNAcentral's name for it is "partial 16S ribosomal RNA". It matches the Rfam family "Bacterial small subunit ribosomal RNA", at positions 1286 to 1500 of the family's 1533-position model. The record is from RNAcentral.
UCUCAGUUCAGAUUGCAGGCUGCAACCCGCCUGCAUGAAGUCGGAAUUGCUAGUAAUCGCGGAUCAGCAUGCCGCGGUGAAUACGUUCCCGGGCCUUGUACACACCGCCCGUCACACCAUGGGAGCCGGUAAUACCCGAAGUCAGUAGUCCAACCUCGUGAGGACGCUGCCGAAGGUAGGAUUGGCGACUGGGGUGAAGUCGUAACAAGGUAUC